UUCUUAUCCAGAGUGGCUGAGGGACUGGCCCUGCGACGCCACAGCAUCCGAUCCGGCGUGGUUGAUCAAGAGGGAUGAUGGAUCGUCAUUACGGUUCGCCCUUGCGAUUGGUGGUUCUUAGUGCCCACCAACCCGCCUUGAUGCCGGUGCUAACUCCUGCCCCUCCUCAAUGGCUUCGUGCUGGUUUGGGGAGAAGGGAGAGAUAAGAG
This 209-nucleotide non-coding RNA is filed under the name Isosphaera pallida. Its description in RNAcentral is "SAM-I sequence". It matches the Rfam family "SAM riboswitch aptamer (S box leader)". From Rfam's summary of the family: The SAM riboswitch is found upstream of a number of genes which code for proteins involved in methionine or cysteine biosynthesis in Gram-positive bacteria. The SAM riboswitch acts at the level of transcription termination control. The record is from RNAcentral. RNAcentral also lists the same sequence under 1 other name. Lineage: Bacteria; Pseudomonadati; Planctomycetota; Planctomycetia; Isosphaerales; Isosphaeraceae.